GAUGAACGCUGGCGGCGUGCCUAAUACAUGCCAGUCGAGCGAACAGACGAGGAGCUUGCUCCUCUGACGUUAGCGGCGGACGGGUGAGUAACACGUGGAUAACCUACCUAUAAGACUGGGAUAACUUCGGGAAACCGGAGCUAAUACCGGAUAAUAUAUUGAACCGCAUGGUUCAAUAGUGAAAGACGGUUUUGCUGUCACUUAUAGAUGGAUCCGCGCCGCAUUAGCUAGUUGGUAAGGUAACGGCUUACCAAGGCAACGAUGCGUAGCCGACCUGAGAGGGGGAUCGGCCACACUGGAACUGAGACACGGUCCAGACUCCUACGGGAGGCAGCAGUAGGGAAUCUUCCGCAAUGGGCGAAAGCUUGACGGAGCAACGCCGCGUGAGUGAUGAAGGUCUUCGGAUCGUAAAACUCUGUUAUUAGGGAAGAACAAAUGUGUAAGUAACUAUGCACGUCUUGACGGUACCUAAUCAGAAAGCCACGGCUAACUACGUG
Molecule: ribosomal RNA, 497 nt
Filed under: uncultured bacterium
Lineage: Bacteria
Description: partial 16S ribosomal RNA
Rfam family: Bacterial small subunit ribosomal RNA
Source: RNAcentral